Carassius gibelio (silver crucian carp) is the source of this 2153-nucleotide long non-coding RNA. RefSeq lists it as uncharacterized. The transcript has 3 exons. The record is from RefSeq and is a predicted model, not a curated record. Lineage: Eukaryota; Metazoa; Chordata; Actinopteri; Cypriniformes; Cyprinidae.
GUCAUCUAGAGUCCCUAUAAGCGUUCUGAUGAGUUGGCUCCUCAGGUUUUUCUGUAAGGCGACUGGCAUCUAUCCAGAGUACCUGCGCGACAGUUUCAGCAUUCAGUGGAAUAGAAUCAGACAGAAAGUGCAGGGAAGACGAGUCCUGCCCAGCGGACCAAGCUUAUGAAUUGUGAAUGGGAAAAACUAGCAACUGUGCCAAGAAGAACAAAGGGCAUCUGAGGACAGUCACUCACAGCUCGGACUAUCUAAUGUAUACUCUGCACAUGACACCCAAUUCACCGAAGAACGACGGUGAAAGAGCUCGACAGGACCACCUAGAGUUGUCAGUAAACAAUGGUUCACCCGCAAGGUCGCUGGACGCGGCAGAAAAGCUGAUGGAAAAGCUAAUUAUACGGUGCGGCUCUCCGUGGAACAGCGAUCAUUAGCACUGGCCACCAAACAUCACAUGGCAGGUGAAUUCUGAGCCCCUCUGCCCAACCUGAGAGGCACACGGAGGUGUGUGUCUCCUGUAGCAUGCGGCGGUCAUGUGGAGGGAGGAGGAAACUAAUGGAGCACGAAAAACAAAGUCUCAUGAAUGUAUAGGGUUCAUGGUCAGGCAUGUCUCGCUCGCAGGUCAUCAGCCGUGCUGCUCUCACCUCUCACCUGAUUGGCCUCUCAGUGGACUUAAACAGCCAAUCAGCAGGUUUCAGUCCAUUAACCACAAAUAAACAGAGAAAGUUCAAUAAUCCAAUAAUGCACUGUGGAGAAAAACACAGACUCUGGGAUGGCCGUCUGUUCACUGCUUUGAUAAAUACACCACAAUUGUUUUGAAAGAAAAUAUCAAACUAAAACAGAUGAUGAUCAUAAUAAUGAUAAAAGAUUAUUUUGCAUCUAUAAAAGUAUUCAUAAAAUAAGUAUUUAUAUAAAAAAAAGUUUAUUAGUUUCCACAAAAAAGAAACGAAUUAAUAAUGAUAAGACUAUUAUUAAUUCUUCUUCUUCCAUUUCUUAUUAUGUAUUUAUUUAUUUGAAUUAUUUUAUUUGUCUGACUUAUAAAUUAACACUGGCACUAAGUUAUUAAUAACGGUUAUUAUUAUCAGUGUUGAAAAAAGUAUUUACUGCAUGCGUUUUUUUUUUGGAAAACAUUGAUGAACAAAAAGGACAGCAAUUAUAUUAAAUUAAAAUCUCAAAUGUUUGUAAUGAUACUAUUAAUCAAUGUGCAUCAAUACUAAAAAAAUUAAAUAUUCAUAAAAUACAUAUAAUUUUUAUUUUUACUAAUAAAAAAUUAUACGUUUUUCACAUUUAAUCAUUUCAUUUCUAGAUGUUUAUUAAUGAAUUUCUUUAGUACUCCAGAUGCUUAUAAAGUAUGCAAAAUGUAUUAUUUAUAUACAAAAAAGCUACAAUAUGAAUAAAACUACACUGAAAGAAAAAUAUGAAUUAUUAUUAUUAUUAUUUUAUUAGAAAAUCAAUUGCAUUCAUUUCAUAAUACACACAUUUAAAAGUCUUUUUAUGUGCUAAAUAAAUCUUUGACCUGUGAUCUGAUAUAAUAAGUGCAGCAAAUAAUUCAGUUUGGAAAUGGUAAGGUCAAAGCAAAGAUCUAGAACUUAAUACGUCUCCAAAACAAAAUGGAUAACAUUGAUUUUGUCUGUGAUUAAUUUUUAGAAAUGCAGAGAGCACAGAAUGUUUUGUAUUAGAAGAAGAGGUCCUCGAAGUCUUUCUUUUCAGGCUUUAAGAGUCCAGCAUGUGAGAGUGGACUAACUGCAAGGCCGAGACGGGAGAGAGAGCUUACUGUACAUGCAACAGCUUCACGGACACAAAGACUCACACAGAGCCGCUUCAAUUCAAUUCAACUAGACCAUGAAUGGACGAGAUGAAAGGGGGAAAUAAUAUAAUGGCCAUUUAAGUGCAUUGGAAAGACGGACAUGAAAUGGCCCUACAACAACCUUUCGAUGAGUUUUUCAGAUGCAUUAUUGAGCUAUUCUAAGGUUCACUGGGCAGCUCAUGUUUUCCAAAAUGGCAACUGCUUAACACGUGGAUUGACUCGUUACAUCGGUACAGCGGACCGAUCCAAGCCUCCCUGUGGGGGUGUGUGUAAGGAGGAUAAAAAGUAUGUAAAAAAAAAGGCAAUAGCUAAACAUUUAUUCCUGUUAUCCACGGUGUAAUAGGGCAUGUCA